GUUCGCCUCACAUCCCAUGUACAGUGUAAAAUUCGUUGGAAGUAGAUCAACCGACAGGACUUGGUAUUACCAGCAUGACCAAUGUAAAUAUUAGUUUAAGUAGUGUAGGAGUUAAUUUGGUGAUGGUGGGAUUUGGACCAUAGGUCAACUUUUAAUGGUCAUGUGUUGUUAUCCCAAUUUGGGAGUAUUGCCUUCUUUGUAUAUUUUGUCCUUCCUUGUCGGGUUGAUGUCUUUAAAGGGGAAAUAAUCUGUGUAGCAGUAGUUAAUUGGAAAUUUAGGGCGGUAUUAAUGAAUUUGUCUUGAGGACAGUAGUUGAUUGAAAAUUUUGUGUUUUUUAACUGGUAGUAUUUAGUAUUUUUUUUGGCUAAGAAAGUCAGAGUAGGAUAAUUUUUUAUUUUUUUUUUUAAGCUGUUAAGUUGUAGGUUUACCCAUUGUUCCCAUAUUGUGGAAAGGUUACGAAUCUAUUAAGUUUUGCUGUUUAGUUCCUUCAUUUUUUAGGGAAGUUAAAUGAUUUUUGAAUCCAUAUCCUAGAUUCAGGGGGGGGGUUAUUUUUUAAAGAUAUCUUGUGUCAUGCUUGAGUUAGUAAAAGACGUUGCCAGUCUUAUCCAGGGGAGUUAUAAGUUCUCUAGUGUCCCUUGUCGGAACUAAAGUUCCUCCUUUUUAAGAUGGAGGGGGGUGUUGUGUAAUUGCCCAGUAGUUCUAGGGGGUUUCCUCUGUCUGGUGUGAUCUACUGGUAAAGAGCAGAG
This 746-nucleotide long non-coding RNA is filed under the name Mytilus galloprovincialis (Mediterranean mussel). The record is from RNAcentral. Lineage: Eukaryota; Metazoa; Mollusca; Bivalvia; Mytilida; Mytilidae.